ACUUGAAUAGUUUAAUAAAAAUAUUGAUUUGUGGUAUCAAAGAUAUAAAAAUUUAUUUCAAGUC
This 64-nucleotide transfer RNA is filed under the name Archimandrita tessellata. Its description in RNAcentral is "tRNA-His". Lineage: Eukaryota; Metazoa; Arthropoda; Insecta; Blattodea; Blaberidae. The record is from RNAcentral.